CGGGGUGUGGCGCAGUUUGGUAGCGCACCUGUCUCGGGGUCAGGGGGUCGGAGGUUCGAAUCCUCUCACCCCGACCA
RNAcentral lists this transfer RNA (77 nucleotides) under Gammaproteobacteria bacterium. RNAcentral describes it as "tRNA-Pro". It matches the Rfam family "tRNA". Rfam says of the family: Transfer RNA (tRNA) molecules are approximately 80 nucleotides in length. Their secondary structure includes four short double-helical elements and three loops (D, anti-codon, and T loops). The record is from RNAcentral. RNAcentral also lists the same sequence under 1 other name. Lineage: Bacteria; Pseudomonadati; Pseudomonadota; Gammaproteobacteria.